This 497-nucleotide ribosomal RNA is filed under the name uncultured bacterium. RNAcentral describes it as "partial 16S ribosomal RNA". It matches the Rfam family "Bacterial small subunit ribosomal RNA", at positions 28 to 507 of the family's 1533-position model. The record is from RNAcentral.
GAUGAACGCUGGCGGCGUGCCUAAUACAUGCAAGUCGAGCGAACAGACGCCUAUCUUGCUCCUCUGACGUUAGCCGCGUACGUGUGAGUAACACGUCGAUACCUUACCUAUAAGACUGCUUUAACUUCGUGAAACCGGUGCUAAUACCGGAUCAUAUCUUCAUCCUCAUGGUUCAAUAGCUUAAGCCGGUUUUGCUGUCCCUUCUACUUAUCUCCUCGGUGCUUUAGCUAUUUGGUAAGGUAACGGCUUACCAUGGCGACGAUGCGUUGCCGACCUGCCAAGGUGAUCGGCCACACUGGAACUGAGAGGCGGUACAGACACCUACGGGAGGCAGAAGUAGGGAAUCGUCGGAAAUGGGCGAAAGACUGACGGAGCAACGGAGCGUGAGUGAUGAAGGGCUGCGGAUCGGAAAACGCUGUUAGUGGGGAAGAACAAAUGUGUAAGGAACGAUGCACGUCGUGACGGUACCUAAUCAGAAAGCAACGGCUAACUACGUG